UUUUUUCUUUUCGUUCUCAAGAAUUCAUAUAGAUAGAGGAUGGAUAUGUAUAAGAAUAUAUAAAGAGUGGAAUUUGAGGAGAAUGCUCAAGUCUCUUCAAAAUUGGAUCGUAAGAGUAUUUGGUUCUAAUUGAUUUUAUCGAAACUUUCCCUGGUUCUUGUCAGCUUGUAAGAGUAGUUGUGUAGUUUCCGUUAACCAUCUAGUUAAGGAUAAGUUGUAGAUAAACGUGUUUUAUCUUUUACCCCUACAUUGUGAACCAGUCCCUACAAACCUAAAUCAAGACCCUCAAGUAUGUCUAGUCAGGAACCUCUCUUAUGAAUUUGUAUGCAGGUGCCAAUCGAUAUUAUCUGAUGUGUAUGAAUGAGUUUUUGGCAUUUGGAGGUGGAGGAAACUUCGCUCUAUGCUUAGACGAAGAUUUGUAAGGCACAAUCUGGCUCAAAACAUUUUAAAGAUUUGCCAUUUUUAUCGUUUUGAUGGUACUCAAACCAAUCGCCGUUGUACAUGAACUAGGUUGAAGGCAACAAGUGGACCUUCUGAAACAUUUGGGAACGAAUGCUUAGCUAGCAGUACAGAGUUUGAGUUAAAAAAUGUCGAGGUAUAUACACAUAUAAUCCACCUUGUUCAACAUAAUAUGCAAUCUUAAAGUUAUCAAUGCAAAGUUAAAUGUUGUUAACAUCUGCAGCUCUGGGGAUUUGCACAUGCGUCUCAAUACCUCUCCUCCUGAUCUUGGAGAUCACUUUCUUUGUCAAGAAUCGAGAUACCUCAAUAGAAAACAAAGAUCACAGUCUUUAUUUUUUGUUUUCAAUCAGUUAAUUGUUUCAGUGUUAUGAUUAGGCUUAAGACUGUUUUUUUUUGUCAGACUAAAAUCCUUUGAAAGAGUGACUAUAUUACAUGUUUGUAUCUGUGAAUUACUGAGAAUACUAAUUCAGCUGGGAGCUUAUUGAACAUUGAUUUGACUGUAAUUCUAAGAUAGUGUUAAUGUUUGUUAUCUAAAUCAGAUGGUCUUGUACAAAGAGAAUGGCACACUUACCUUUUCAGGUGAGGAUGAAAGUUUGAAAUCUUACUUGCUUUGUUGUAAUUCAUUUGCAUGUAUUGUGAAAUAGGUUAAGUUACCUGUUAACACAUCUAAAUGCAAUAUAAUAAACUCAUAAAUUACCAAAAGAUCCGUUGUAACACAUUUAGUCGAUAAAUCUUUAAAGUUUUGAAAUUUGUUUGAUAUCAACUCAAAGUUAUUUACGUUUGAUAUGCUGUUUAAUUUGAUACAUUGCAAAACUUUAAUAACAACCUUUAAUGAAUCCAUCCAAUAAUCUUAGUUAAAAUUCAAUGGCAUUUUACGUAAUAAACUACAAAUCUAAUGCUUCUUUUGAAAGUAGAUAUAUCUAUACUAUUAAAGCUAAAAUACCCAUUAUUUAUAAACAAAGUUUCUCACCGAAAUAAACUACACCUCUCAUUUUCAGAUCUUUGUACAUUGAAUAUAGUAUUUUUGAAAAUGGACACCCGUAGACGGUAUCAUAAAAAGAUUAUUUGUGCAAAUCCCCCUUAAAUAAGUAUCUCUUUAAAAAAAUACUUUGGAUAUGAUAUUCUUAAAAUAUUUUUAAAAAAUACUUUGGAUAUUAUUUUAAAAGAUUAUUUUUAUUUUUAUUUUGAAAAUAAAUAUUCCGUCUAGUAGAAGGGUCCCAACUCCUAAUAUAGAUAAGAAAAUAUAAUAUUUAAUUAAUAUUGAUUAUUAUUUUGUUAAUGUUAUGAUUAUCCAAAUUUUAACACACGCAAUAUUUUUAAUUUAUACCUGAAAACAUAAAUAAA
RNAcentral lists this long non-coding RNA (1803 nucleotides) under Capsella rubella. RNAcentral's name for it is "long non-coding RNA (CRUB_LNC003775)". Lineage: Eukaryota; Viridiplantae; Streptophyta; Magnoliopsida; Brassicales; Brassicaceae. The record is from RNAcentral.